AAGUCGUAACAAGGUUUCCGUAGGUGAACCUGCGGAAGGAUCAUUAAUACGCUUUUGUUUGUAACAAAACAAAACGUUUUAAACUCCAAAAGAAAUAGUGGAAAUAUAACUUCCGGAUGCGAAUGUUGGGAACUGAGUAAAAUCGGUUCUUUGAAAAAGGGACUUCAAGUAAUUGACACUUCAGAGUAGAGCAGUGAGGUGAAAUUCUCUUUAAUGAGAGUUUGGUUCUGAAAAACAUUUGUAUCCGGUUAUCAUAAUCUGUUCUACAAACUCCAAAAUAUCAAACAAUAAACCCCAUGUACAACAACUUGAACUAAACAUUUUUUUGUUAUUCUUCUUGCACUUGUGUGAGGAGCUACAAAGAAAAAACCUGAACUUAAGAACAACUCUUAACAACGGAUAUCUUGGUUCUC
Molecule: unclassified non-coding RNA, 413 nt
Filed under: fungal sp.
Lineage: Eukaryota; Fungi
Also listed under: 1 other name
Description: partial internal transcribed spacer region
Rfam family: Eukaryotic small subunit ribosomal RNA (bases 1-46)
Source: RNAcentral